UAGAUUUGUCCUAAGUCAAACCCAUCCAACUUCGACCAAACUUAUAAAAAAAAUAUAAUAACAUCCAUACUACCAAAUAUAUGCACUAUUGAAAUAUAUUUCAUAAUAAAUUCGAUGCGACAAAUUUGAUAUUGUAGAUAUUUUUGUAUUUUUCUAUAAACUUGAUCAAAGUUGGACAAGUUUGACUUGGAACGAACCUAA
RNAcentral lists this microRNA precursor (201 nucleotides) under Setaria italica (foxtail millet). Its description in RNAcentral is "MIR1435 microRNA precursor family". It matches the Rfam family "MIR1435 microRNA precursor family". Lineage: Eukaryota; Viridiplantae; Streptophyta; Magnoliopsida; Poales; Poaceae. The record is from Rfam by way of RNAcentral.